AAGACGAUGACGUUGAUAGGUCGGGUGUGUAAGUGUAGCGAUACAUUGAGCUAACCGAUACUAAUGAACCGUGAGGCUUAACCUUACAACGCCGAAG
Molecule: ribosomal RNA, 97 nt
Filed under: Citrobacter freundii
Lineage: Bacteria; Pseudomonadati; Pseudomonadota; Gammaproteobacteria; Enterobacterales; Enterobacteriaceae
Description: partial 23S ribosomal RNA
Rfam family: Bacterial large subunit ribosomal RNA (bases 1-85)
Source: RNAcentral